GGGGGGAAAAACAGGCGCGAGAAUCAAAAUUCCCAAAGAAAACCAUAGGAAGGACUUAAAGAGAAAGACACACAGCUCGUGGGCCGUGGCUUACAUUUGCAGCGACGCUUUUAAUUCUAGGGCAAAUUAUCCUCGUUUUGGAUUUUGAUUGAGAUAAUGGUCACUAAUCCAAAUUCCUAGGGGAGAGAAAGUGUUGCAAGAGAGAGGGACGCUUCCUAACUCGGUGCUGUGCUCUAGCUACCCAAUAUUGCAUUUGAGGUUUGGAAAUACAAUAUCUAAGAGACUUGCAUUAAGGUAAGAACAUGAGCUCAUCAGGGAUAGAGCCAGAGGCGCCUGAUCUGGUGUGCCAGCUUGACAAUGUCCAAGGCAUGGUCGAUGCCUUCUCUGCAGUUCGAUGGAAACGCCAGCAGGUCUGGACCAACAGAACCUAAUAGAGUCUAUUCAGGAGUCUUUUCCCCUCUCUUCUCAAUGUCCCCUUCACAUUUCCGGUUGCUAGUUCUCUAGGUUUUUUAGCAGUUCCAUAUGGACAUUUUUAUCCAUCUUUAUUGUUACAUUUAGGAUGCAGUAGUGGAAUUAUCAGAGCAUGGCAUUGUUUUGAUAGUUGAGGAGAUUGGUUGUCUUCAAGCUAAAGUUUAUCUCCAAAAAGAGCUUUUUGUCCAAUAUGAAUAUAAUGCUCAAGGGCGGCCUAGGUUUGGAGUGAGCUUGGGGCUUUUUGUUGAUUGCUUGAACACAUUUUCAGUUCCCGGACAUUCAACUGCAAUUGAAAUUCGAUAUCCUGGACCAGACAUGCAGCUUCUUCUGAAGUCUGUUGAUUCACUAGAUGCCUGUAUUUAUGCGGAAAUCAGGACAAGAAUUCCAGAUACAAUUUCAUGGGACUACAACUUUGAACCUGCGGGAACUACACCAUUAAGUUUUACUGUUAAGUCUGCAGCACUGAAGGAAGCUAUUGAUGAUCUUGAAUGGCCAGGAUCCAGCAUCCAGAUUAUUCUAAAACCGGUGCCCCCAUCUGUAACCUUUAGAGGUGAAGGCCAUGGAGACUUGCAGAUAGACUUCAUGUAUUAUAUAAAUACUGAUCUGUUAAUUGCAUUCCAUUGUGAUCACGAAGUUUCUUACAGGUACAAAUACAAGUUCCUUCGAGCAACCACUUCUAAUAUACCCAGCAGUGUUAUUAAAGACAACCGAGGAAGCAAGUUGACCAUUGGGAGAGGUGGAAUGUUGAAAGUUCAGCACCUGGUUUUGGUUGGAAGAUCAUCUAUUUCACAUCCGCACGUUGAUUCUGCUGGCUAUCAACAACCUAGUCGAAUAGCUUUUAUUGAGUUCUUUGUGAGGCCGGAGGAAAAUGAAGGCCCCAUACAUGAUUGACAGGUUUUCUAUAUUAUUUUUCAUUUUAUAUUAUAUAUAUAACAAUCCUCAUACGUUAACGGUUCAAUAGAUGUUAUCUGCCCACGGGCCUUUUACCGCCACUUUCUGUUGUACUUAUGUGUUAUUCUGGUCUGUCUAGAGGUUCUAAAUGAUAACCAGGUCCAGACCCAAUCACUUGCUCUUCUCUAGCAACUAGACAAAUACCAUCCUCAAAUCGUUUCAUUUUGUGUGAUGUUUGGAUUAGGAAGC
This 1611-nucleotide unclassified non-coding RNA is filed under the name Hevea brasiliensis (rubber tree). Lineage: Eukaryota; Viridiplantae; Streptophyta; Magnoliopsida; Malpighiales; Euphorbiaceae. The record is from RNAcentral.